GUCGGUAUCGAUUAGGGGUUAAAUCACUUCGUUGUGGUUGAAUCAUUCCGAAGAGCCGCUGGUUCGAUUCCAGCUACCGACA
This 82-nucleotide transfer RNA is filed under the name Gymnopilus junonius. It matches the Rfam family "tRNA". Rfam says of the family: Transfer RNA (tRNA) molecules are approximately 80 nucleotides in length. Their secondary structure includes four short double-helical elements and three loops (D, anti-codon, and T loops). Further hydrogen bonds mediate the characteristic L-shaped molecular structure. tRNAs have two regions of fundamental functional importance: the anti-codon, which is responsible for specific mRNA codon recognition, and the 3' end, to which the tRNAs corresponding amino acid is attached (by aminoacyl-tRNA synthetases). tRNAs cope with the degeneracy of the genetic code in two manners: having more than one tRNA (with a specific anti-codon) for a particular amino acid; and 'wobble' base-pairing, i.e. permitting non-standard base-pairing at the 3rd anti-codon position. The record is from Rfam by way of RNAcentral. Lineage: Eukaryota; Fungi; Basidiomycota; Agaricomycetes; Agaricales; Galerinaceae.